AGCGAACGCUGGCGGCAGGCUUAACACAUGCAAGUCGAGCGGGCGUAGCAAUACGUCAGCGGCAGACGGGUGAGUAACGCGUGGGAACGUGCCCUUUGGUUCGGAACAACACAGGGAAACUUGUGCUAAUACCGAAUAAGCCCUUACGGGGAAAGAUUUAUCGCCGAAGGAUCGGCCCGCGUCUGAUUAGCUUGUUGGUGAGGUAACGGCUCACCAGGGCUACGAUCGGUAGCUGGUCUGAGAGGAUGAUCAGCCACACUGGGACUGAGACACGGCCCAGACUCCUACGGGAGGCAGCAGUGGGGAAUAUUGGACAAUGGGGGCAACCCUGAUCCAGCCAUGCCGCGUGAGUGAUGAAGGCCCUAGGGUUGUAAAGCUCUUUCGGCGGGGAAGAUAAUGACGGUACCCGCAUAAGAAGCCCCGGCUAACUUCGUGCCAGCCGCCGCGGUAA
This 451-nucleotide ribosomal RNA is filed under the name uncultured bacterium. Its description in RNAcentral is "partial 16S ribosomal RNA". It matches the Rfam family "Bacterial small subunit ribosomal RNA", at positions 29 to 523 of the family's 1533-position model. The record is from RNAcentral.